AUGGUGCUCGAGUCGACGAUGAUCUGCAUAGACAACUCGGAGUGGAUGCGGAACGGCGACUACUCGCCGUCCCGCUUCCAGGCGCAGGCCGACGCCGUCAACCUCAUCUGCGGCGCCAAGACCCAGUCGAACCCGGAGAAUACGGUGGGCGUCAUGACGAUGGCCGGCAAGGGCGUGCGCGUGCUUGUCACUCCCACCAGCGACCUCGGCAAGAUCCUCGCCUGUAUGCACGGGCUGGAAGUUGGAGCUGAAGCAAACUUGGCCGCAGCUAUUCAGGUUGCUCAGCUGGCGCUAAAGCAUCGCCAGAAUAAGAGGCAACAGCAGAGAAUUAUUGUUUUCAUUGGAAGCCCUGUGACAUACGACAAGAAGGUUUUGGAGACAAUAGGGAAGAAGCUGAAGAAGAAUAAUGUUGCCCUUGACGUUGUUGAUUUUGGUGAAACUGAUGAUGAAAAGCCCGAGAAACUGGAAGCGCUGAUCGCUGCUGUGAACAGCAGUGAUAGCAGCCACAUCGUCCAUGUCCCUCCGGGUGAUCAUGCCCUUUCUGAUGUUCUUAUAAGCACUCCUAUCUUUACUGGUGAAGAAGGUGGAAGUGGCUUUGCUGCUUCUGCAGCAGCUGCUGCAGCCACCGGAGCUACUGGAUAUGAUUUUGGCGUGGACCCAAAUGUGGAUCCAGAGUUGGCACUUGCCCUACGGUUGUCUAUGGAGGAAGAACGAGCUAGGCAAGAAGCUAUCGCGAAGAAGGCUGCAGAAGACAACAAGGAUCAGGCCUCAAGCUCUACUGAUGCUAUUAUGGCUGAAGCAGAACUUACCUUAAAUGCUCCUGCUGAUGUUGACGCAGAUCUACUGAAGGAUGAUGAUGAUGCUCAGCUACUACAGCAAGCACUCGCUAUGUCAAUGGAUGAGGGUGCUUCAGGAGCUGCAGCCGUGGCUGAUGCUGCUAUGGCAGAAGCUGCUGCAGAUGACCAGGAUUUGGCAUUGGCUCUUCAAAUGUCUGUCCAGGAUGCAGAGGCGGCUGGUCAAUCUGAUAUGAGCAAAGUGUUUGAAGACAGAUCAUUUGUGACAUCCAUCCUUAAUUCGCUUCCUGGUGUUGACCCCAAUGACCCAUCUGUGAAAGAUCUACUGGCAUCUUUGCAUGGCCAAGGAGAGCAGGAGGAGAAGAAAGAUACGGAGGACAAGCCAGACAAGCCUGAAGAUGGGAAGAACUGA
RNAcentral lists this ribosomal RNA (1206 nucleotides) under Triticum aestivum (bread wheat). RNAcentral describes it as "partial small subunit ribosomal RNA". Lineage: Eukaryota; Viridiplantae; Streptophyta; Magnoliopsida; Poales; Poaceae. The record is from RNAcentral.